This 1416-nucleotide long non-coding RNA is filed under the name Rattus norvegicus (Norway rat). RNAcentral's name for it is "long non-coding RNA NONRATT018645". Lineage: Eukaryota; Metazoa; Chordata; Mammalia; Rodentia; Muridae. The record is from RNAcentral.
AUUUUAAAGUGAACCUGUCUGCUUAUAAUUUAGCAAAGCAAAAAACAGUUGUGUCCUGAAGUUUGUGUUUCAAGAAUUUAGUAUUUUUCUGGAAAUAAUUUUAUUUAACUUUAAGCAAUAACUAGGACCAUAAUUAAGUGUUAAUCAAAAUGAAGGCUUGUUUCAAACACCAUGAAAGUGUUUGAUUCACACACACACACACACACACACACACACACACACACACACACACACACACACACAUCUAUUGAGACACAAGGGGAAAAAAAUCACAUCCCCUUCAGAGAUGAUUGUAUUUUAUCUGAAGGAUCAAGAGUGUUAAUUAGUCACUUACUAAAGCUUACCUUCCACUGAAGAGAGAUCUCUUGUGAACCAUACAACUUUUGCACUUUGAAGGAAAGGCAUUACUCAGAAGGAAGUGAGGACAGUCCAAAUGGAAUGCUGCAUUUUACACACACAGUUACAGACUGUUGAAAAUUGGGGAAGAGUGAAUGGAUAACAGGAUUCGAAACCAAACUUAGUGGUGGUUGUUGCGGAACAUUGGAUUUCAACAUAGUCCAUACAGCGACUGAGGUUGAAUAACCUUGACUUUCAAAUCCUGUUUUGGUAGUUGGACUUCAUUAUCUUGGUGAUUCUAGUCAUUUUACAAUGUUUUGUAUUUGGUCAUUUACUGUAAUCACAUUUUUAUAUCUGUACAGUGACACUUUUUGCAGUUGUGGGGUAGUGUGUAACACUGUGCAUCUUGCAUCAUCGAAACUACUACCGUGAUACUAUCCAUUGAUAAUAUUAAUAUUACUUGAAAAUAGACAAAGGUAAAGAAAAGGGGUCUGUAUGAUGUGCAGUUUUGUGCCUUUAUGUAUUUGCCUUGUUCUUCGUUGAAUGUGUGAAAUUCUGUACUGUGGUUUUUCCAAUAGUAGAAAGUAGAGUCAUGCAUUAAAUUAGACUGUAUCCCUGACACCUUUAAACUACUGAGAAUAACGUGGUUGGCCGUGUAAUUCAGUGUUCAAAGUUCUAAUGACAUGCCAUGUGCUUUGGUUUUUAACAUUUCAGUACCACCAUACAUUAAUUAAUACUCCUGUAAUAGAUAAGCAGUCAUUAAUUAAGUUCCAAAAGAAAGGGCCAUUGCUUGCAUUCCUUUGAAUUUAAUGUUGCCCUUGUACACUGUGUUAAUACUGUAUGUAAUGGAUUGAACAUUGUGAUUCUCGCCUUUUAAGAAGAGAAAGAGAGAGAAGGAAAAGUAUUUGAUGCUCUCAAAAUGUACAUAUUUGGGUUCUUCUAUCUCAAAUUAUUUAAAAUGCAUAAUUCACAUUUUUUUGUAAUCAUUCUAUGCAAUUUUGUGGCAUGACGUUUCUUCCACUUGUAAUUUUCUGUGCUUUCAUCACAAGUCCAAAGGAAACAAUAAAAAUUUCUUAACAC